GCUUUUAAAGGAGAACAGCCAUCCAUUGACCUUAGGAGCCAACAUCUCUUGGUGCAAGUCCAAGUAAAAGCUG
RNAcentral lists this transfer RNA (73 nucleotides) under Odorrana schmackeri (piebald odorous frog). Its description in RNAcentral is "tRNA-Leu". The record is from RNAcentral. Lineage: Eukaryota; Metazoa; Chordata; Amphibia; Anura; Ranidae.